Molecule: long non-coding RNA, 1565 nt
Organism: Eucalyptus grandis
Lineage: Eukaryota; Viridiplantae; Streptophyta; Magnoliopsida; Myrtales; Myrtaceae
Exons: 2
Source: RefSeq, a predicted model, not a curated record
UAUAAUUUGAUCUAUUGCUCAAUAAUUUCUUUAUUCAAAUCUCUUAAGAAUGAAUUCCCUUUUUAGGAUUGUGAACCUCAUUCAAUUUGCAAAUUUCAGGAGGCUGAACCAACUUAAUUUCAAUUGUGGCAACAGUUGGUGGUUGAAGUGGACAGGGCAAGCUGGUUUGGCGUUUUUAACUCUUGGUUUGUUGCGUAAAAUAGCUUUCCUUGUUGCAAAAUUGUGCUCUCGAUUUCAUCCUAUCAGUGUGAUCCACAUGAAGUGUGCUAGUUGAUUUGACCGUCAUGUUAACUCCAUGUUUGGCAAGCUUAUGUUGAAUUUUUACUUUAGCAGACAAUAUUUGCUCUUUUGUGUUUAUCGUGUGAGCUUCACUUGGACUUCUAGUAUAUAUGUUUAAAAAUGUGAAUCAAGGAAGCCUGAUGUCAACCUCUCCAAUCAAUACUCUUGUAGGCUUUCUCAAAGUCGGCCUUUAUGGAUUGAUUCCGUCUUUCCACAGAGGGUACCUAGUCCCCUCUCAUUGGCCAUUUGGUAUUCUAUUUCUGUUCUUCCAACUUAUUAUCUGUCGCAUUCUGAGUCACCUAACUUUUUUGUCGUGUAUGACAACAUCUACCAUUUAAAUUUUUAUGGUUGAACCCAGAUAAGUGAUACAUCUUGUAUGUUUGUUCUUCUUUUCAUAGUCUUCUCCUAUAUUUGCUUUGAGUCCUAUUAAGCCUAAAUUGCAAUACUCAUCCCUUUCGUAAGAAUGACUGGAAUAUGAAAGGCUUGCAUUAUAAUGUUUUCUCUUGCCGCUACUUUUCAAAUUUAGCUAAAUUAUCUUGUUUGCUGAACUAGAGUAUGUUUAUGGUAAAAACUUGUGUGCCGUUGGCAUAAUCGCUGUAUGAAACUGGUGAUGCUUGCAAAAACCUGUGAGGUAUUUUACCAAAAACUUGUGAUGCAUCACAAAUUUCUUAACAAAUGCUGUCAAUUGGGUUGCAGUUGCAGUCUGCAAGGGCAGAGUGUUAGGGACACGUCAGCGCUUUCGAUGCAGUCCUUGAGCUUCGGAUUGUCCUGGAGUGAAGGAAUCAGGGCUGAUGGUUGUUGUGGCUGUUGACCCCAUCUGGAAUAAUGGAGACAUGUGGGAAAAAGUUCAAUGCGACAUGCAUAGGCCCUCCGAGUUCUGGUGAAAAAUUCCCAUGUCAGGGCUCAGUGAUUGUGACUGUUGCAGAACGAUGUGCUUCGCCACAAUGCGACACCACUUUCCAGCUCUCUAGGCUAGCCUUCGACAAGAUUGUCGACGCUACACUGGUCAAGAUUGCGACUGAUUAUGAACCACAAUGCGACACCACUUUACAUGGUCCGCCGUCUCCCUCUAUCUAGUGAUCCACUGAGAUUUUGUUUCAUGAACCUACUCCCGGAUGAAUUUGCAGGGCUUAAAAGGCAAGUUGGAAUUUAUUCUUUUGCGUAGGAAGUAUGAUGGAGGGAUGGCAACCUAUUAUCCCUUCGGACAAUAAAAUUAAGAUGUUUUCGUAAACAGGAGCUACUUUGGAACAUUUGAAUAUUUACUUGUAUUACAUAUGAUUCUGUUA